Molecule: long non-coding RNA, 1383 nt
Filed under: Lynx pardinus (Iberian lynx)
Lineage: Eukaryota; Metazoa; Chordata; Mammalia; Carnivora; Felidae
Source: RNAcentral
GCGAGCAGAGUUACUAGAGUCCCGAGGGCUCUCGCUAGUUUGGGAGACCUCUUCCUCCACAGGUGAAGCCAGUUUCACUCGACUAAAGAGAGAGAGUCUGCUCACAAAGGCACUUGGGAUCCCAGAAGAUGGCUCUUUCCCACUGGCAAGUGACGGCGAACUUGAUCUUCGCACAGACAAUCUCUGGAAGAGGUUUUUAAUCUCUUCCAAGGACUUGAUAGGCAUUCCACUCAGUGAUGAGAGUCCAAUCUAGGGAAGACGAUUUGGGAGGGUCUCCAUCAUAUAGUCAAAAGCAGUUCAUAACCAUGUUGAAGUCAAACCAGGAAAAAAGUAGGUAAGAAUUACCCCUCCUUAAAUAACUAGCAGCCUGCUUCUUCAUACUUAAAACUGCCCCAGAAAAGGGGUGCCUGGGUGGCGCAGUUGGUUAAGUGUCCGACUCUUGAUUUCAGCCCAGGUCAUGAUCUCAAGGUUUGUGAGGUUGAGCCCCGCACAGAGCCUGCUUGGGAUUCUCUCUCUCCCUUUGUCUGCCCCUUCCCUCCUCAUGUUCUCUCUCUCUCUCUCUCUCUCUCUCUCAAAAUAAAUAAACAUUAAAAAAAAAACUGUCCCAGAAAACAUUAACAAAAAUUAAAAUGGCCAUAAUGAAAAAGAUGUGCUAACGUUGAUGGCACUAUAAAUUUCUACAACCAUUUAGAAAGAAAUUUGGCAAAUAAUAGCAAAAGAUAUAAAAUGCCAAUAUUGCCAGCAGUGGGCAUAUUAAAGCAAUUUUUCCUAACGAAUAACUUAAAAUAUAGGUGAUCCAUAAUCUUUAUUAUGUACAUCCUAGCAAUAGCAAUUUAAAAAUCAUAAGCGAAUUAAGUAUUCAAAAAUAGCAAAGCAGAAAAAUCUUCCUGAAAUGUUAUACAGUCCUUACAAAAUAAAGUUUAUAAAGCCUAUGGGGUAAAAUUGGUAAAGCUUUAAAAUAUAAAAUUCAUGUGAACAACAUAAAAAUAAAAAUUGUAUGAACAUAAGAACAAAUGAGUGAUAAUAUGCAUUUAAAACAUUGAAAGAAAGCUAAAAGAUUAACAAAAUGGGUUGUUUUCCUUUUUUACUUUUCAGAUUCUAUAAGAUUGUUACCAUGACUUUUCCUGUUGUUUUAAAAAGGCCAGUGAACAAAGUCACUUAAAGUGUUAUCAGCAGAAAUUAUUAGCUUAUUAGCAGAAAUGCACAGUGAAUGUGAAUUUCUAUUACAUAUUUUUCUAAUUUGUAGCCCUAUUUUCUUUUCUAGCUCUCAACUUUUAUCAGUGAUUAAACUUAGAGUUUAAUAUUAAUUAUGAAGGCCAAUUAAAUCCUAAAAUUUUCUCAUUCUGAAAAGCCCAAAAUAUGGAAGUGUUUUCCUAAACAUUA